Molecule: ribosomal RNA, 485 nt
Filed under: uncultured bacterium
Lineage: Bacteria
Description: partial 16S ribosomal RNA
Rfam family: Bacterial small subunit ribosomal RNA
Source: RNAcentral
GAUGAACGCUGGCGGCGUGCUUAACACAUGCAAGUCGAACGGGAUCCAAGGGGUGCUUGCACUUUUUGGUGAGAGUGGCGAACGGGUGAGUAACACGUGAGUAACCUGUCCUUUUCUUUGGGAUAAGCAUUCGAAAGGGUGUUUAAUACCUUAUGUUCUGUCUGCCUCGCAUGGGGUGGGUGGGAAAGGCUUUGGCCGAAUUUGGGUGGGCUCGCGGUCUAUCAGCUUGUUGGUGGGGUGAUGGCUUACCAAGGCUUUGACGGGUAGCCGGCCUGAGAGGGUGGUCGGUCACAUUGGGACUGAGAUACGGCCCAGACUCCUGCGGGAGGCAGCAGUGGGGGAUAUUGCACAAUGGGCGAAAGCCUGAUGCAGCGACGCCGCGUGGGGGAUGAAGGCCUUCGGGUUGUAAACUUCUUUUGCUCUGAACAAGGCAUGCCAGUGGGUGUGUUGAGUGUAGGGGUUGAUUAGCGCCGGCUAACUACGUG